This 1722-nucleotide ribosomal RNA is filed under the name Proteus mirabilis. Its description in RNAcentral is "partial 23S ribosomal RNA". It matches the Rfam family "Bacterial large subunit ribosomal RNA", at positions 1223 to 2925 of the family's 2925-position model. The record is from RNAcentral. Lineage: Bacteria; Pseudomonadati; Pseudomonadota; Gammaproteobacteria; Enterobacterales; Morganellaceae.
GUUGGGUAGGGGAGCGUUCUGUAAGCCUGCGAAGGUGUACUGUGAGGUAUGCUGGAGGUAUCAGAAGUGCGAAUGCUGACAUAAGUAACGAUAAUGCGGGUGAAAAACCCGCACGCCGGAAGACCAAGGGUUCCUGUCCAACGUUAAUCGGGGCAGGGUGAGUCGACCCCUAAGGCGAGGCUGAAAAGCGUAGUCGAUGGGAAACGGGUUAAUAUUCCCGUACUGGUGGUAACUGCGAUGGGGGAACGGAGAAGGCUAGGUUGUCCGGGCGACGGUCGUCCCGGUUCAAGCAGGUAGGCAGAGUGAUUAGGCAAAUCCGGUCACUUAAUGCUGAGAUGUGAUGACGAACCACUAAGGUGGUGAAGCAAUUGAUGCCCCGCUUCCAGGAAAAGCCUCUAAGCUUCAGGUUACCAACAAUCGUACCCCAAACCGACACAGGUGGUCAGGUAGAGAAUACUCAGGCGCUUGAGAGAACUCGGGUGAAGGAACUAGGCAAAAUGGUGCCGUAACUUCGGGAGAAGGCACGCUGGCGGUAGGUAAAGUCCCUCGCGGACGGCGCUGAAGCCAGUCGAAGAUACCAGCUGGCUGCAACUGUUUAUUAAAAACACAGCACUGUGCAAACACGAAAGUGGACGUAUACGGUGUGACGCCUGCCCGGUGCUGGAAGGUUAAUUGAUGGGGUUAGCGUAAGCGAAGCUCCUGAUCGAAGCCCCAGUAAACGGCGGCCGUAACUAUAACGGUCCUAAGGUAGCGAAAUUCCUUGUCGGGUAAGUUCCGACCUGCACGAAUGGCGUAAUGAUGGCCAGGCUGUCUCCACCCGAGACUCAGUGAAAUUGAACUCGCUGUGAAGAUGCAGUGUACCCGCGGCAAGACGGAAAGACCCCGUGAACCUUUACUAUAGCUUGACACUGAACAUUGAGCCUUGAUGUGUAGGAUAGGUGGGAGGCUUUGAAGUGUGGACGCCAGUCUGCAUGGAGCCAACCUUGAAAUACCACCCUUUAACGUUUGAUGUUCUAACCUAGGCCCAUAAACUGGGUCGGGGACCGUGUCUGGUGGGUAGUUUGACUGGGGCGGUCUCCUCCUAAAGAGUAACGGAGGAGCACGAAGGUUGGCUAAGCAUGGUCGGACAUCAUGCGGUUAGUGCAAAGGCAUAAGCCAGCUUGACUGCGAGAGUGACGGCUCGAGCAGGUACGAAAGUAGGUCUUAGUGAUCCGGUGGUUCUGAAUGGAAGGGCCAUCGCUCAACGGAUAAAAGGUACUCCGGGGAUAACAGGCUGAUACCGCCCAAGAGUUCAUAUCGACGGCGGUGUUUGGCACCUCGAUGUCGGCUCAUCACAUCCUGGGGCUGAAGUAGGUCCCAAGGGUAUGGCUGUUCGCCAUUUAAAGUGGUACGCGAGCUGGGUUUAGAACGUCGUGAGACAGUUCGGUCCCUAUCUGCCGUGGGCGUUGGAAGAUUGAGAGGGGUUGCUCCUAGUACGAGAGGACCGGAGUGAACGCACCACUGGUGUUCGGGUUGUCAUGCCAAUGGCAUUGCCCGGUAGCUAAGUGCGGAAGAGAUAACCGCUGAAAGCAUCUAAGCGGGAAACUUGCCUCGAGAUGAGUCUUCCCUGUCGCUUUAAGCGACCUAAAGGAACGUUUAAGACUAAGACGUUGAUAGGCUGGGUGUGUAAGCGUAGCGAUACGUUGAGCUAACCAGUACUAAUGAACCGUGAGGCUUAACCUG